UGAGGAGGCACAUCUCUGCACCUGCUGACAUAAUCAGCACAAAGACCUGGAUGACACAGCCCGGGAAGGAAAUGGAGCUGCUCUGCCUCAGAGAGUUGGCCCUUUAAGUCAAUCUCUCCGCGACGUUGUGGGGACGGAGGCGUCACUGCUGCUCUUUCCUGUAGUCGGGCACGGCAUGACAAAGGCUGCUCUGGUGAGGCGUGUUUGGAGACACCAUGUCCUGCUGCAGAGAGGACGCAUGAGGGGGGAACCCCACCCAGCUCAUGUUCUCAGGGUGGGUGAGCAGCCGGAAGACACCAGCAUUUACAGCACAGAAGCUGCCCGAGAAUAAAAUUUACACAUAUUGCCAUGCUUCACUUUACAUGAUGUAAAAAGUGACAUAAUCCCCGACGUACCAGAAAGUGGGGGAGAAGACCUUGUGCACGACAUCCACAAACAACCUGGGAAACUACAGGAACCCCUAAAAAUAAACACAA
Molecule: long non-coding RNA, 476 nt
Organism: Talpa occidentalis (Iberian mole)
Lineage: Eukaryota; Metazoa; Chordata; Mammalia; Eulipotyphla; Talpidae
Exons: 3
Source: RefSeq, a predicted model, not a curated record